GGUUUCGUAGUGUAGUUGGUUAUCACCCAAGGUUUUGAUACUAGUCAAAAAAAAACUCCUUGUAACCCCGGUUCGAAUCCGAGCGAGACCU
RNAcentral lists this transfer RNA (91 nucleotides) under Candida maltosa Xu316. It matches the Rfam family "tRNA". From Rfam's summary of the family: Transfer RNA (tRNA) molecules are approximately 80 nucleotides in length. Their secondary structure includes four short double-helical elements and three loops (D, anti-codon, and T loops). Lineage: Eukaryota; Fungi; Ascomycota; Pichiomycetes; Serinales; Debaryomycetaceae. The record is from Rfam by way of RNAcentral.